ACUGGGAGUCUCCUUAGUGAAAACAUCCGAAGCUCAUCAAAGGGGGUGCACCGUUCCUGGAGGUACUGCAAUACCAGGUCGAUGCGUGGAGUGGACGGAGCAAGCCCCUAUUCCAUCUCCCUAUUCCAAAAAUCCCUUUAAUAUAUGGUCUACAUUUUGAAAAUCCAUUUACUGUUUUGCAACAGCUCUGUGUCUUAUGGACUCUGUUCUAAAAACUCGACAACCUUGUUCCAAGAAAAAUGCUUGUAGACGAUUGAGAAACUGUAAUAGGUUGUUUCCGGAUUUAAAUAGUACAAGAUUACAGUACCAUGAGGGACAAAAAUGCUGACAGCACCUGGUAUUCCCAGGCAGUCUCCCAUCCAAGGACUAACCAGGCCUGACCUUGCUUAGCUUCCGAGACCGGGCGUAUUGUAAUGUGUAUAUGAUGCACGUAAACACUUCACUGUACCGUUUACACCCUGUAUCCUGUGCAUGUGACGAAUAAACGUUGAUGUGAUGAUCAACUCACCAUU
Non-coding RNA from Oncorhynchus mykiss (rainbow trout), 512 nucleotides. Lineage: Eukaryota; Metazoa; Chordata; Actinopteri; Salmoniformes; Salmonidae. The record is from RefSeq and is a predicted model, not a curated record.